Molecule: ribosomal RNA, 500 nt
Filed under: uncultured bacterium
Lineage: Bacteria
Description: partial 16S ribosomal RNA
Rfam family: Bacterial small subunit ribosomal RNA
Source: RNAcentral
AUUGAACGCUGGCGGCAGGCCUAACACAUGCAAGUCGAGCGGCAGCGGGACCUUCGGGUUGCCGGCGAGCGGCGGACGGGUGAGUAAUGCCUAGGAAUCUGCCUGUUAGUGGGGGAUAACGCGGGGAAACUCGCGCUAAUACCGCAUACGUCCUACGGGAGAAAGCGGGGGCUCUUCGGACCUCGCGCUAACAGAUGAGCCUAGGUCGGAUUAGCUAGUUGGUGGGGUAAUGGCCCACCAAGGCGACGAUCCGUAACUGGUCUGAGAGGAUGAUCAGUCACACUGGGACUGAGACACGGUCCAGACUCCUACGGGAGGCAGCAGUGGGGAAGAUUGGACAAUGGGCGAAAGCCUGAUCCAGCCAUGCCGCGUGUGUGAAGAAGGUCUUCGGAUUGUAAAGCACUUUAAGUCGGGAGGAAGGGCUGUAGACUAAUACCUUGCAGUUUUGACGUUACCGACAGAAUAAGCACCGGCUAACUUCGUGCCAGCCGCCGCGGUAA